GGAGAGUUGCCGGAGUGGUUGAACGGGGCAGUCUCGAAAACUGUUGUUUCUGCAAGGGAACCCUGGGUUCAAAUCCCAGACUCUCCGCCA
This 90-nucleotide transfer RNA is filed under the name Candidatus Cloacimonadota bacterium. RNAcentral's name for it is "tRNA-Ser". It matches the Rfam family "tRNA". From Rfam's summary of the family: Transfer RNA (tRNA) molecules are approximately 80 nucleotides in length. Lineage: Bacteria; Pseudomonadati; Candidatus Cloacimonadota. The record is from RNAcentral.